CAGUCGAGGGGUAUAGUUCUUCGGAAUUAGAGACCGGCGCACGGGUGCGUAACGCGUAUGCAAUCUACCUUUCACAGAGGGAUAGCCCAGAGAAAUUUGGAUUAAUACCUCAUAGUAUGCAGAGUUGGCAUCAACCCUGCAUUAAAGUCACAACGGUGAAAGAUGAGCAUGCGUCCCAUUAGCUAGUUGGUAAGGUAACGGCUUACCAAGGCUACGAUGGGUAGGGGUCCUGAGAGGGAGAUCCCCCACACUGGUACUGAGACACGGACCAGACUCCUACGGGAGGCAGCAGUGAGGAAUAUUGGACAAUGGGCGCAAGCCUGAUCCAGCCAUGCCGCGUGCAGGAUGACGGUCCUAUGGAUUGUAAACUGCUUUUGUACAGGAAGAAACACUCCUUCGUGAAGGAGCUUGACGGUACUGUAAGAAUAAGGAUCGGCUAACUCCGUGCCAGCAGCCGCGGUAAUACGGAGGAUCCAAGCGUUAUCCGGAAUCAUUGGGUUUAAAGGGUCCGUAGGCGGUUUAGUAAGUCAGUGGUGAAAGCCCAUCGCUCAACGGUGGAACGGCCAUUGAUACUGCUAGACUUGAAUUAUUAGGAAGUAACUAGAAUAUGUAGUGUAGCGGUGAAAUGCUUAGAGAUUACAUGGAAUACCAAUUGCGAAGGCAGGUUACUACUAAUGGAUUGACGCUGAUGGACGAAAGCGUGGGUAGCGAACAGGAUUAGAUACCCUGGUAGUCCACGCCGUAAACGAUGGAUACUAGCUGUUGGGAGCGAUCUCAGUGGCUAAGCGAAAGUGAUAAGUAUCCCACCUGGGGAGUACGUUCGCAAGAAUGAAACUCAAAGGGAUUGACGGGGGCCCGCACAAGCGGUGGAGCAUGUGGUUUAAU
Molecule: ribosomal RNA, 885 nt
Filed under: uncultured bacterium
Lineage: Bacteria
Description: bacterial SSU rRNA
Rfam family: Bacterial small subunit ribosomal RNA
Source: RNAcentral